GCUGUUAAGGGUUCGUAGUUGAAUUGAGGGUGCUUUCAAGUUGACGAAUCAGUCCCCCUUCGCUUCGCGAAGGCGGCGACUCUCGCUCUUGGCAUCCGUGAACGACACAUUGCAGGAUCAAAUACCACGGGAUUUUGCUUCUUCUCAACAUCACUACGCAUGCGAUGCAUGCAGUGUGGGGGGCGCCCGUGAUUAUUUACUGUGACUAAAAAGCGCGACCAAAGCAGUCAAGCGACUGAAUUUCAAAGCAUGGGAUAACAACGAAGCGGCCUAUGGGUUUCCAUUUCGGCUUUUGUUGGUUUUAAGAUCUGUGGGAGAUUGUGGACGGGCAUGACAAGCGGUUCGGGAGCGCAUCUCUUGGUGCGUUCCCUACGCCUUCCGGGGCAGAAUUUCGGUUCAUUCCGGUCUGUUUUCUGGCUUGCCUGUCCAGGAAUGAAGGAGGGUUGUUCGGGGGAGAACGUACUUGAGCGUGGAGGUGAAAUUCUUAGACCGCUCAAAGGCGAACUACAGCGAAGGCAUUCUCCAAGGAUACCUUCCUCAUCAAGAACCAAAGUACGGAGAUCGAAGAUGAUUAGAUACCAUUGUAGUCC
RNAcentral lists this ribosomal RNA (590 nucleotides) under uncultured kinetoplastid. Its description in RNAcentral is "bacterial SSU rRNA". It matches the Rfam family "Eukaryotic small subunit ribosomal RNA", at positions 615 to 1026 of the family's 1831-position model. Lineage: Eukaryota; Euglenozoa; Kinetoplastea. The record is from RNAcentral.